CGGCUGUAAUGGCCAUCCCGAAAGAAGAUUUUCGCAUCUCCUCUCCAAUUUCCCUUUCCAUCCCAACGGAAAGCGGUGCCCGGUUCGAAUCCUGUGGUCGUCACUUUCCACCAGUGCGGGUAACCCACUGAGCUGGUCGGCGCUAAGGGUGAGAAAUAAUCUUCAGGGAAGCGAUUCUGCAGAGAGUUCUCCCCACAGGGUGGCGGCGCCGGAUUACACUGCGAUCCGGUAUGGGAAGUUGAGGUAGGAAAGAAGUGUCGACUUUCAAACUUUUUUU
RNAcentral lists this signal recognition particle RNA (277 nucleotides) under Tuber melanosporum Mel28. RNAcentral's name for it is "fungal signal recognition particle RNA". It matches the Rfam family "Fungal signal recognition particle RNA". Lineage: Eukaryota; Fungi; Ascomycota; Pezizomycetes; Pezizales; Tuberaceae. The record is from Rfam by way of RNAcentral.